This 74-nucleotide transfer RNA is filed under the name Thermoplasmatales archaeon A-plasma. It matches the Rfam family "tRNA". Rfam says of the family: Transfer RNA (tRNA) molecules are approximately 80 nucleotides in length. Their secondary structure includes four short double-helical elements and three loops (D, anti-codon, and T loops). Lineage: Archaea; Methanobacteriati; Thermoplasmatota; Thermoplasmata; Thermoplasmatales. RNAcentral also lists the same sequence under 3 other names. The record is from Rfam by way of RNAcentral.
GGGCCCGUGGGGUAGCUAGGAUAUCCUGUUGGCCUUCGAAGCCGAAGACCUGGGUUCGAAUCCCGGCGGGCCCG